CAGCCGCCGCGGUAAUACGUAGGGUGCGAGCGCUAAUCGGAAUUACUGGUCGUAAAGCGUGCGCAGGCGGUUGUGUAAGACAGGUGUGAAAUCCCCGGGCUUAACCUGGGAACUGCGCUCGUGACUGCACAGCUAGAGUAUGGCAGAGGGGGGUGGAAUUCCGCGUGUAGCAGUGAAAUGCGUAGAUAUGCGGAGGAACACCGAUGGCGAAGGCAGCCCCCUGGGCCAAUACUGACGCUCAGGCGCGUAAGCGUGGGGAGCAAACAGGAUUAGAUACCCCGGUAGUCCCUGUCUCUUAUAC
This 301-nucleotide ribosomal RNA is filed under the name uncultured bacterium. RNAcentral describes it as "partial 16S ribosomal RNA". It matches the Rfam family "Bacterial small subunit ribosomal RNA", at positions 509 to 807 of the family's 1533-position model. The record is from RNAcentral.